CGUAGGUAACCUGCCUCUUAGCGGGGGAUAACUAUUGGAAACGAUAGCUAAUACCGCAUAAAAGUCGAUAUCGCAUGAUGUUGAUUUGAAAGGUGCAAUUGCAUCACUAAGAGAUGGACCUGCGUUGUAUUAGCUAGUUGGUGAGGUAACGGCUCACCAAGGCGACGAUACAUAGCCGACCUGAGAGGGUGAUCGGCCACACUGGGACUGAGACACGGCCCAG
RNAcentral lists this ribosomal RNA (223 nucleotides) under uncultured Streptococcaceae bacterium. Its description in RNAcentral is "partial 16S ribosomal RNA". It matches the Rfam family "Bacterial small subunit ribosomal RNA", at positions 116 to 334 of the family's 1533-position model. The record is from RNAcentral. Lineage: Bacteria; Bacillati; Bacillota; Bacilli; Lactobacillales; Streptococcaceae.